This 504-nucleotide ribosomal RNA is filed under the name uncultured bacterium. RNAcentral's name for it is "partial 16S ribosomal RNA". It matches the Rfam family "Bacterial small subunit ribosomal RNA", at positions 28 to 523 of the family's 1533-position model. The record is from RNAcentral.
GAUAAACGCUAGCGGCAGGCUUAACGCAUGCAAGUCGAGGGGCAGCAUAGACUGUAGCAAUACAAUUGGUGGCGACCGGCGCACGGGUGCGUAACGCGUAUGCAACCUACCCGUCACAGGGGGAUAAUCCGGAGAAAUCUGGUCUAAUACCCCAUAACAUAUGGAUCGGCAUCGGUUCAUGUUGAAAUUUUCGGAGGUGACGGAUGGGCAUGCGUAGCAUUAGCUUGUUGGUGAGGUAACGGCUCACCAAGGCGACGAUGCUUAGGGGGACUGAGAGGUUUUCUCCCCACACUGGUACUGAGACACGGACCAAACUCCUACGGGAGGCAGCAGUGAGGAAUAUUGGUCAAUGGGCGCAAGCCUGAACCAGCCAUGCCGCGUGCAGGAUGACGGCUCUAUGAGUUGUAAACUGCUUUUGUACGAGGGUAAAGUGGGUUACGUGUAACCUUUUGAAAGUAUCGUACGAAUAAGGAUCGGCUAACUCCGUGCCAGCAGCCGCCGUAA